UGCAAAAUAUUGUUGAAAAUCUUAUUAGAAAUGAUAAUUUCAGUAAUUAUUUGAAAAAAGGUGUGUUAAUAUGGAUUCAACAAGGAAAUUGGCCAAGACACGCGAAUGAUACAGGAUUAAUACCGCGACACUAGUAACACACAGCAGCAGUCCAUGAUUUUAUACAUCCCGACGUAUAUUUCAAAUUCAUUAUACGAGUACGUGAUAUGAUCCGUU
Molecule: long non-coding RNA, 216 nt
Organism: Cydia pomonella (codling moth)
Lineage: Eukaryota; Metazoa; Arthropoda; Insecta; Lepidoptera; Tortricidae
Exons: 2
Source: RefSeq, a predicted model, not a curated record